This is a long non-coding RNA of Engraulis encrasicolus (European anchovy), 1164 nucleotides long. RefSeq lists it as uncharacterized. The record is from RefSeq and is a predicted model, not a curated record. The transcript has 6 exons. Lineage: Eukaryota; Metazoa; Chordata; Actinopteri; Clupeiformes; Engraulidae.
AGGUGUGGUAAGUCGCAUCGUGUGUUCGGGCAGCUUGCCUGUGCAAGAAAAUGUUGUCGCGACAAUUGUUUAUUGUUUGUGUGUCAACUGGCGUUUCUUAUCUCGUAUGUGCUUUGCUUGCUUGGUUAGAGUCGUAGCUCUACCACAGAUUCUGUAAGAGACUUAUAAGGGCUGUGGCUCUACUACGUAGCUGUUUGAUAAAUGCGGAUGAAGGCUACGCGUGGAAAACGUGUUUACAUUCACCAGUCGUUGUGUUCCAAAAUUACGGAGGGAAUAGUUAUCCAAUUUCUUUCAUUCACGAGCAGGGAUGUGUUGCUUUGUUGACGCUACAGGGAAGUUUCCUGGUUUAAAGAAAGUUGUGGCUAUAGGCAACAGCUACUUCAACAAGCUUUGCAUGAAAUCGUGCGUGUGUAACUUAGUUCUAGUGUGAGUGUGUGAUAUUGUACUCUGCAGUAUUUACGAAGAGACUGGUUGGUUUAUAGUUUUGUUUAUGUAAAUGAAAAAUGUAAAGUUGUGUGUAGUAGUGAGACAAAAGCCUUUCAUACAUUUAUUUAAGGUUGUCUGUUGUCUGUUUGAAGGUGUGUCUGCAAAGCUCUGAAACGUUUUGUCAUUUUUGUCUCUUCUGCUCUGGAUAAGGUGGACUUCUCUCCUCUGACCUGUUACCAAGACAGCUGGGUGUGUAGGAAACUGGAACUAAGUCACUGAAGAAGUAAACCGAUGAAAACCGAUUUGGAUUGUCUGAGAGAUCUGUAGGACACAAGUAAGAGGAGAAGAAUGCUGCUCAGCUGGGUCGGCGUCGGCCACACUACUUAUUCAAGAAGCCCUUGGAUAUCAUCGGCAUGUAUGAAGCACAGUCAUUCCGGUAGUCCGUUCCUCGAUGGACGUGAUGACCUGGCACCAAAACCGCUUAAAGUGUAUGGAGCUGUGUCUGCAUCGAGGAAAGAACGCGGCACUGAAAUGACAAGAGGACUACUGCUCUACUGGGUCUGUGACACUACUUAUCCGAGGAGUCCUCAAACAUCAGGAUGUAGGAAGACACAAGUAAAAGGAGAAGAAUGCUGUUCAGCUGGGUCGGCGGCCACACUACUUAUUCAAGAAGCUCUUGGAUAUCAUCGGCAUGUAUGAAGUCCACUGAUGCCAAGCUGCUAAGGACCCCCACCCCCC